Apis mellifera (honey bee) is the source of this 863-nucleotide long non-coding RNA. RefSeq lists it as uncharacterized. NCBI's taxonomy places the organism in Eukaryota, Metazoa, Arthropoda, Insecta, Hymenoptera, Apidae. The transcript is spliced from 3 exons. The record is from RefSeq and is a predicted model, not a curated record.
AUUUACUCUCUUUGUCUAUAUUUAGUAUAUAAAAUUAAUUUUAUAACGAUAAUGUAAACUUGUGACAAUCUAUAAACUGAAAAUGUUUAAGUUUUUUUUAUUAAGAAGAAAAAAAUAAUGAUUGGUUGCUCGGCAAAAGGGCCGAAUUCACUUUCACAAACUGGUGCGAGUAAAGUGAAGGACUUUUUUUUCGAAACGAAGUCUCGUUGCACCUGAAACAUUAUCAAUUCAAAGGAUAAACUCGAGUAUAUUGGUUUAAUAGAAUUUUUUCCACCAAUAACAAAUGUCUUUGUUCAAAAAUUUGAAACGUUGAUGAAUAACUUGUAAUGGUGUGAUGUGCUGAGUCAUUCGAGAAAUCGGACAAGUAUACACAAUACUAUACACAAAUAUCAAAAGAUAUAAAUGAAGAAAGAAAAAGAAAAAUUGAAGAAAAUCACGUAACGCGUCGUAGUGUUAUUUAACCUCGAUUAAACGUUCUUUUGCAUCGAACCACCGAGUCGAUUCGCACGAUAUCCAUAGUCAUUUCUUUUCCGGCCAGUCGUGGUAUCAGAACUUUCACGCUCGAAAUGUUGGCCAGCCAUUGCGAAAUCAGAUGAUAUUUACACAACCGUGUCGACUUUUCUCACUCGUUCACUUUAAUAAACGCGGGCUAAUUAUCGUAGAAAUUUUAACUAUUAUAACAAUUCUUGCUGGAAGAAUUGCAGUUGGAUUAUAUGUCUGAUGGGUCAUUAGUAUUCUUCAAGGUCGUUGGAUCGUUGGAAUAUAUCUAUGUGCUACGUCUGUGUAAGAUAGAUCUUGAGAGAGGGUGUAUCUUGCUGCUAUGCGCAUCUUAAUUAAAUACAUUUAUCGUUCAAUACAAAUAA